Long non-coding RNA from Populus euphratica (Euphrates poplar), 544 nucleotides. RefSeq lists it as uncharacterized. The record is from RefSeq and is a predicted model, not a curated record. The transcript has 2 exons. Lineage: Eukaryota; Viridiplantae; Streptophyta; Magnoliopsida; Malpighiales; Salicaceae.
UUGUCAAUUGUGGGUCACCUAUAUUAUUUAGAUUGGUAGUUUAUGUCUUUAAACAUGAUAGAGCAAGCUGGGCUGAACUUUGUGUGACCAAGUGAAGAUUUAGAUUUUUCUUCCAAAAGAUUGGACCUGAAUUUUAUUUUGGAAGCAAACCUGGACUUUGCUUUUCAGCUGAAGUUAUUAAAUUUUAAAUUUGUUGGCAUUUGAUUACUUCUUCAUAGUGUGAAAAAUACUGGAUAUGGAACUUACAUAAAGAGGAUACAAAAUUGUCAGACAAGAUCAAUGCCCUGGAGGGAAGGGAAGAAUUCGUGGAUCACAAAACAGAGAAAGUCUAACCUAAAAUCAUCUCAAAUAUUAUGCAAUUAAAAUCCUAUGAUUCUAAGUUGAAAUUUAUAGCUGUACAUUGUUACGGAAGCAUAGGUUUAGCCUUUACAUUCGUAUAAUUCCUAAACUACUGUGUAUAUAAUAUAAUACAUAAUUCUCAUCAAUGAAAUGUGUGGGAAAUAAUUCAUUGAAACUACUGCAAUAUUUGUUUCUUUAUAUGGUA